ACGCUCGCUUCAACAGCACAUAUACUAACGUUGGAAUGAUACAGAGAAGAUUAGCAUGGCCCCUGGACAAGGAUGACAUGCAAAUUCAUAGUGUUCCAUAGUUUU
Small nuclear RNA from Rhinolophus ferrumequinum (greater horseshoe bat), 105 nucleotides. Lineage: Eukaryota; Metazoa; Chordata; Mammalia; Chiroptera; Rhinolophidae. The record is from Ensembl.